AACGCCGCGUGAACGAUGAAGUACUUUGGUAUGUAAAGUUCUUUUAUCAAGGAAGAAAAGCAAGUGGCGAACCAUUUGUUUGCCGGUACUUGAUGAAUAAGCCCCGGCUAAUUAUGUGCCAGCAGCCGCGGUAAGACAUAAGGGGCAAGUGUUAUCCGGAAUUAUUGGGCGUAAAGGGUGCGUAGGCGGUCUAGUAAGUCAGCGGUGUAAUGGCAACGCUCAACGUUGUCCGGCUAUUGAAACUGCUAAACUUGAGUUAGAUAGAGGCGAGUGGAAUUCCAUGUGUAGCGGUAAAAUGCGUAAAUAUAUGGAGGAACACCAGAGGCGUAGGCGGCUCGCUGGGUCUUAACUGACGCUGAGGCACGAAAGCGUGGGGAGCAAACAGGAUUAGAUACCCUGGUAGUCCACGCCGUAAACGAUGAGUACUAAGUGUCGGGUUAAACCGGUACUGAAGUUAACACAUUAAGUACUCCGCCUGAGUAGUACGUACGCAAGUAUGAAACUUAAAGGAAUUGACGGGACUCCGCACAAGCGGUGGAUCAUGUUGUUUAAUUCGAAGAUACCCGAAAAACCUUACCAGGUCUUGACAUGUUUUUGCGAAACGGUAGUAAUAUCGUAGAGGUUAUCAGAAACACAGGUGGUGCAUGGUUGUCGUCAGCUCGUGUCGUGAGAUGUUAGGUUAAGUCCUAAAACGAGCGAAACCCUUAUCGUUAGUUGCCAGCACGUUAUGGUGGGGACUUUAACGAGACUGCCAGUGAUAAACUGGAGGAAGGUGAGGAUCACGUCAAAUCAGCAUGCCCCUUAUGACCUGGGCUACAAACGUGAUACAAUGGCUGUUACAAAGGGUAGCUGAAACGUAAGUUCUUGGCCAAUCCCCAAAAACAGUCUCAGUCCGGAUUGAAGUCUGCAACUCGACUUCAUGAAGUUGGAAUCGCUAGUAAUCGCGAAUCAGCAUGUCGCGGUGAAUACGUUCUCGGGGUUUGUACACACCGCCCGUCAAACCACGAAAGUUGGCAAUACCCCAAAAUGGUAGCCUAACUCGUUUAUUCGAGAGGGCGCUGUCUAAGGUAGGGUCGAUGAUUGGGGUUAAGUCGUAACAAGGUAUCCCUACCGGAAGGUGGGGAUGGAUCACCUCCUUU
RNAcentral lists this ribosomal RNA (1139 nucleotides) under Cuban tobacco phytoplasma. RNAcentral's name for it is "bacterial SSU rRNA". It matches the Rfam family "Bacterial small subunit ribosomal RNA", at positions 393 to 1533 of the family's 1533-position model. Lineage: Bacteria; Bacillati; Mycoplasmatota; Mollicutes; Acholeplasmatales; Acholeplasmataceae. The record is from RNAcentral.